RNAcentral lists this transfer RNA (25 nucleotides) under Sphenophryne schlaginhaufeni (Wandolleck's land frog). RNAcentral describes it as "Liophryne schlaginhaufeni (Wandolleck's land frog) partial tRNA-Phe". Lineage: Eukaryota; Metazoa; Chordata; Amphibia; Anura; Microhylidae. The record is from RNAcentral.
UGGGCCCUAAAAAGUUCUGCAGGCA